GCCCAAAGAAGAUUGAGUGCUUGCACAAGAUUGGACUUGGAUUACCACCUAGUGGCGGACGGGUGAGUAACACGUAGGUGACCUACCUUUGAGUUUGGGAUAACUAUUAGAAAUGAUAGCUAAUACCGAAUUAAAUGCAGAUUCGUUUCUGUAUUAAAAGGAGCCUUUAAAGCUUCGCUUAAAGAUGGGCCUGCGGCGUAUUAGCUAGUUGGUGAGGUAAUGGCUUACCAAGGCGACGAUGCGUAGCCGAACUGAGAGGUUGAUCGGCCACAUUGGGACUGAGACACGGCCCAAACUCCUACGGGAGACAGCAGUUAGGAAUAUUCGUCAAUGGGGGAAACCCUGAACGAGCAAUGCCGCGUGAACGAUGAAGGCCCUAUGGGUUGUAAAGUUCUGUUGCAUGGGACGAACGAUUAGGAUAGGAAAUGAUCUUAAUGUGACGGUACCAUGCCAGAAAGCUCCGGCUAACUACGUGCCAGCAGCCGCGGUAAUACGUAGGGAGCAAGCGUUAUCCGGAUUUAUUGGGCGUAAAGGGUGCGUAGGCGGCUUGUUAAGUAUGAGAUUAAAGCCCGAGGCUUAACCUCGGUUCGUUUCAUAAACUGGCAGGCUUGAGUGCGGCAGAGGUAAACGGAAUUUCUAGUGUAGCGGUUAAAUGCGUAGAUAUUAGAAGGAACACCAGUGGCGAAGGCGGUUUACUGGGCCAUAACUGACGCUGAGGCACGAAAGCGUGGGGAGCAAAUAGGAUUAGAUACCCUAGUAGUCCACGCCGUAAACGAUGAGUACUAAGUGUUGGGGCAACCCAGUGCUGAAGUUAACACAUUAAGUACUCCGCCUGAGUAGUACGGUCGCA
This 850-nucleotide ribosomal RNA is filed under the name uncultured bacterium. RNAcentral describes it as "bacterial SSU rRNA". It matches the Rfam family "Bacterial small subunit ribosomal RNA", at positions 61 to 890 of the family's 1533-position model. The record is from RNAcentral.